AGUGAACGCUGGCGGUAGGCCUAACACAUGCAAGUCGAACGGCAGCACAGUAAGAGCUUGCUCUUACGGGUGGCGAGUGGCGGACGGGUGAGGAAUACAUCGGAGUCUACUUUUUCGUGGGGGAUAACGUAGGGAAACUUACGCUAAUACCGCAUACGACCUACGGGUGAAAGCAGGGGAUCUUCGGACCUUGCGCGAUUAAAUGAGCCGAUGUCGGAUUAGCUAGUUGGCGGGGUAAAGGCCCACCAAGGCGACGAUCCGUAGCUGGUCUGAGAGGAUGAUAAGCCACACUGGAACUGAGACACGGUCCAGACUCCUACGGGAGGCAGCAGUGGGGAAUAUUAGACAAUGGGCGCAAGCCUGAUCCAGCCAUACCGAGUGGGUGAAGAAGGCGUUCGGGUUGUAAAGCCGUUUUGUUGGGAAAGAAAAGCAGCAGGUUAAUACCCCGCUGUUCUGACGGUACCCAAAGAAGAAGCACCGGCUAACUUCGUG
This 492-nucleotide ribosomal RNA is filed under the name uncultured bacterium. RNAcentral's name for it is "partial 16S ribosomal RNA". It matches the Rfam family "Bacterial small subunit ribosomal RNA", at positions 29 to 507 of the family's 1533-position model. The record is from RNAcentral.